This 260-nucleotide ribosomal RNA is filed under the name uncultured bacterium. RNAcentral's name for it is "partial 16S ribosomal RNA". It matches the Rfam family "Bacterial small subunit ribosomal RNA", at positions 1240 to 1500 of the family's 1533-position model. The record is from RNAcentral.
CAAAGAGAAGCAAGACCGCGAGGUGGAGCAAAACUCAAAAAAUGGUCUCAGUUCGGACUGCAGGCUGCAACCCGCCUGCACGAAGUUGGAAUUGCUAGUAAUCGCGGAUCAGAAUGCCGCGGUGAAUACGUUCCCGGGUCUUGUACACACCGCCCGUCACACCAUGGGAGCCGGGAAUGCCCGAAGUCGGUGACCCAACCGUAAGGAGGGAGCCGCCGAAGGCAGGCCUGGUAACUGGGGUGAAGUCGUAACAAGGUAAC